CCUGGUUGAUUCUGCCAGUAGUCAUAUGCUUGUCUCAAAGAUUAAGCCAUGCAUGUCCAAGUAUAAGCACUUAUACCGUGAAACUGCGAAUGGCUCAUUAAAUCAGUUAUAGUUUAUUUGAUAGUACCUUUACCUGGAUAACUGUGGUAAUUCUAGAGCUAAUACAUGCUAAAAACCUCGACUUCGGAAGGGGUGUAUUUAUUAGAUAAAAAACCAAUGCCCUUCGGGGCUCCUUGGUGAUUCAUAAUAACUUAACGAAUCGCAUGGCCUUGCGCCGGCGAUGGUUCAUUCAAAUUUCUGCCCUAUCAACUUUCGAUGGUAAGGUAGUGGCUUACCAUGGUCUCAACGGGUAACGGGGAAUUAGGGUUCUAUUCCGGAGAGGGAGCCUGAGAAACGGCUACCACAUCCAAGGAAGGCAGCAGGCGCGCAAAUUACCCAAUCCCGAUACGGGGAGGUAGUGACAAUAAAUACUGAUACGGGGCUCUUUCGGGUCUCGUAAUUGGAAUGAGUACAAUCUAAAUCCCUUAACGAGGAACAAUUGGAGGGCAAGUCUGGUGCCAGCAGCCGCGGUAAUUCCAGCUCCAAUAGCGUAUAUUAAAGUUGUUGCCGUUAAAAAGCUCGUAGUUGAACCUUGGACCUGGCUGAUCUGUCCUCCUAAUCGAGCGUACGGAUUCGGUCGGGUCUUUUCUUCUGGGGAGCCUUAUGCCCUUUACUGGGUGUAAUGGGGAACCAGGACUUUUACCUUGAAAAAAUUAGAGUGUUCAAAGCAGGCCUUUGCUCGAAUACAUUAGCAUGGAAUAAUAGAAUAGGACAUCGGUUCUAUUUUGUUGGUUUCUAGGACCGCUGUAAUGAUUAAUAGGGAUAGUCGGGGGCGUCCGUAUUCAAUUGUCAGAGGUGAAAUUCUUGGAUUUAUUGAAGACGAACUACUGCGAAAGCAUUCGCCAAGGAUGUUUUCAUUAAUCAGUGAACGAAAGUUAGGGGAUCGAAGACGAUCAGAUACCGUCGUAGUCUUAACCAUAAACUAUGCCGACUAGGGAUCGGACGGUGGUUUUUUUAUGCCCCGUUCGGCACCUUACGAGAAAUCAAAGUGUUUGGGCUCGGGGGGGAGUAUGGUCGCAAGGCUGAAACUUAAAGAAAUUGACGGAAGGGCACCACAAGGCGUAAACAGCCGUAGUUAACUCUGCGCCGAAAAGGCACCUAGACACAAAUAGGUCGUGGACAGUCCUCCACCUCUGGUGGGAAAAAGCCUAGUUAACCCUUACUGCUUCCCUGGAAGUAAACAGGCCUGCUGUGGUA
Molecule: ribosomal RNA, 1296 nt
Rfam family: Eukaryotic small subunit ribosomal RNA